RNAcentral lists this ribosomal RNA (497 nucleotides) under uncultured bacterium. RNAcentral describes it as "partial 16S ribosomal RNA". It matches the Rfam family "Bacterial small subunit ribosomal RNA", at positions 28 to 507 of the family's 1533-position model. The record is from RNAcentral.
GAGGAAAGCGGGCGGCGGGCCUAAUACAUGCAAGUCGAGCGAACAGACGAGGAGCUUGCUCCUCUGACGUUAGCGGCGGACGGGUGAGUAACACGUGGAUAACCUACCUAUAAGACUGGGAUAACUUCGGGAAACCGGAGCUAAUACCGGAUAAUAUAUUGAACCGCAUGGUUCAAUAGUGAAAGACGGUUUUGCUGUCACUUAUAGAUGGAUCCGCGCCGCAUUAGCUAGUUGGUAAGGUAACGGCUUACCAAGGCGACGAUGCGUAGCCGACCUGAGAGGGUGAUCGGCCACACUGGAACUGAGACACGGUCCAGACUCCUACGGGAGGCAGCAGUAGGGAAUCUUCCGCAAUGGGCGAAAGCCUGACGGAGCAACGCCGCGUGAGUGAUGAAGGUCUUCGGAUCGUAAAACUCUGUUAUUAGGGAAGAACAAAUGUGUAAGUAACUAUGCACGUCUUGACGGUACCUAAUCAGAAAGCCACGGCUAACUACGUG